Molecule: transfer RNA, 76 nt
Filed under: Chlorobium chlorochromatii CaD3
Lineage: Bacteria; Pseudomonadati; Chlorobiota; Chlorobiia; Chlorobiales; Chlorobiaceae
Description: tRNA-Gly
Source: RNAcentral
AAGCUCUUCGGCAAAAAGUGUUGGUUUUGAGGAUUGGGAAAGGUUGGGAGAAAGUGCUACAAGUUCAAGGCGGCGA